This 254-nucleotide ribosomal RNA is filed under the name uncultured bacterium. RNAcentral describes it as "partial 16S ribosomal RNA". It matches the Rfam family "Bacterial small subunit ribosomal RNA", at positions 524 to 776 of the family's 1533-position model. The record is from RNAcentral.
UACAUGGGGUGCAAACGUUGCUCGGAAUUAUUGGGCGUAAAGCGCACGUAGGCGGUUAUUCAAGUCGGAUGUGAAAGCCCUUGGCUCAACCGAGGAAGUGCACCCGAAACUGGAUAGCUAGAGUACGAAAGAGGGUCGCGGAAUUCCCGGUGUAGAGGUGAAAUUCGUAGAUAUCGGGAGGAACACCGGUGGCGAAGGCGGCGACCUGGUCCUUUUACUGACGCUGAGGCGCGAAAGCGUGGGGAGCAAACAGG